GAUGAACGCUAGCGGCAGGCUUAACACAUGCAAGUCGAGGGGCAGCGAGAUUGUUAGCAAUAACGAUUGUCGGCGACCGGCGCAAGGGUGCGUAACGCGUGAGCAACUUGCCCGUUUCUGGGGGAAUAACCGUUGGAAACGACGACUAAUACCCCAUAGUAUCCUUUGGAGGCAUCUCUUUGGGAUUAAAGAAAUUCGGAAACGGAUAGGCUCGCGUGACAUUAGAUAGUAGGCGGGGUAACGGCCCACCUAGUCUACGAUGUCUAGGGGUUCUGAGAGGAAGGUCCCCCACACUGGAACUGAGACACGGUCCAGACUCCUACGGGAGGCAGCAGUGAGGAAUAUUGGUCAAUGGUCGGAAGACUGAACCAGCCAAGUAGCGUGAAGGAUGAAGGUUCUAUGGAUUGUAAACUUCUUUAUACGGGAAUAAAACCUCCCACGUGUGGGAGCUUGUAUGUACCGUAUGAAUAAGCAUCGGCUAACUCCGUG
RNAcentral lists this ribosomal RNA (489 nucleotides) under uncultured bacterium. RNAcentral's name for it is "bacterial SSU rRNA". It matches the Rfam family "Bacterial small subunit ribosomal RNA", at positions 28 to 507 of the family's 1533-position model. The record is from RNAcentral.